AUUGAACGCUGGCGGCAGGCCUAACAUAUGAAAGUCGAGCGGAUGAAGGGAGCUUGCUCCUGGAUUCAGCGGCGGACGGGUGAGUAAUGCCUAGGAAUCUGCCUGGUAGUGGGGGAUAACGUCCGGAAACGGGCGCUAAUACCGCAUACGUCCUGAGGGAGAAAGUGGGGGAUCUUCGGACCUCACGCUAUCAGAUGAGCCUAGGUCGGAUUAGCUAGUUGGUGGGGUAAAGGCCUACCAAGGCGACGAUCCGUAACUGGUCUGAGAGGAUGAUCAGUCACACUGGAACUGAGACACGGUCCAGACUCCUACGGGAGGCAGCAGUGGGGAAUAUUGGACGAUGGGCGAAAGCCUGAUCCAGCCAUGCCGCGUGUGUGAAGAAGGUCUUCGGAUUGUAAAGCACUUUAAGUUGGGAGGAAGGGCAGUAAGUUAAUACCUUGCUGUUUUGACGUUACCAACAGAAUAAGCACCGGCUAACUUCGUG
This 484-nucleotide ribosomal RNA is filed under the name uncultured bacterium. RNAcentral describes it as "partial 16S ribosomal RNA". It matches the Rfam family "Bacterial small subunit ribosomal RNA", at positions 30 to 507 of the family's 1533-position model. The record is from RNAcentral.